This 309-nucleotide unclassified non-coding RNA is filed under the name plant metagenome. RNAcentral's name for it is "partial contains 5.8S ribosomal RNA, internal transcribed spacer 2, and large subunit ribosomal RNA". The stretch from base 1 to 105 matches the Rfam family "5.8S ribosomal RNA", at positions 50 to 154 of the family's 154-position model. The record is from RNAcentral.
GAAAUGCGAUAAGUAGUGUGAAUUGCAGAAUUCAGUGAAUCAUCGAAUCUUUGAACGCACAUUGCGCCCCUUGGUAUUCCAUGGGGCAUGCCUGUUCGAGCGUCAUUUGUACCCUCAAGCUUUGCUUGGUGUUGGGUGUUUGUCCCGUCUCCGCGCGUGGACUCGCCCCAAAGUGAUUGGCAGCCGGCGUACUGGUCCCGGAGCGCAGCACAUGUCGCGCAAACGAGUGCCUUGGUACGGCGGCGUCCAUAAGCCCCUCUCUCACGCUCUUGACCUCGGAUCAGGUAGGGAUACCCGCUGAACUUAAGC